This 227-nucleotide ribosomal RNA is filed under the name Babesia microti. RNAcentral's name for it is "partial 18S ribosomal RNA". It matches the Rfam family "Eukaryotic small subunit ribosomal RNA", at positions 58 to 254 of the family's 1831-position model. The record is from RNAcentral. Lineage: Eukaryota; Apicomplexa; Aconoidasida; Piroplasmida; Babesiidae.
UCUUAGUAUAAGCUUUUAUACAGCGAAACUGCGAAUGGCUCAUUAAAACAGUUAUAGUUUAUUUGAUGUUCGUUUUACAUGGAUAACCGUGGUAAUUCUAGGGCUAAUACAUGCUCGAGGCGCGUUUUACGCGUGGCGUUUAUUAGACUUUAACCAGCCCCUUUGGGUAAUCUUAUGUAUAAGUUUUAUACACCAAGACGACAUAUACAAGCAUAGCUGGGACUCCC